This 65-nucleotide transfer RNA is filed under the name Parnips nigripes. RNAcentral's name for it is "tRNA-Phe". Lineage: Eukaryota; Metazoa; Arthropoda; Insecta; Hymenoptera; Figitidae. The record is from RNAcentral.
AUUUAAAUAGUUUAAUAAUAAAACAUAAUAUUGAAGAUAUUAAAAUGAUAAAUUAUCUUUAAAUA